Molecule: ribosomal RNA, 253 nt
Filed under: uncultured bacterium
Lineage: Bacteria
Description: partial 16S ribosomal RNA
Rfam family: Bacterial small subunit ribosomal RNA
Source: RNAcentral
UACGGAGGGUGCAAGCAUUAAUCGGAGUUAUUGGGCGUAAAGGGCGCGUAGACGGUAAGAUUAGUCAGAUGUGAAAUUUCGAAGCUCAACUUCGAAGCUGCAUUUGAAACUGUCUUUCUAGAGGAUAGGCGGGGAAAACGGAAUUCCACAAGUAGCGGUGAAAUGCGUAGAUAUGUGGAAGAACACCGGUGGCGAAGGCGGUUUUCUAGCUUAUUCCUGACGUUGAGGCGCGAAAGCAAGGGGAGCAAACAGG